CAUUUUAAUCUUCUUCCAUUUGCUGAUCAGUUCAUGCGCACGAUGGCUGGGACGCGGUUCGUUAUACUAACUCAUUGCGUUGCUUCUUUGUUUUUGUUAACUGUAGCAAAUGGAGCUAUAAUACGUCUAAAUUGUGAUACUGUUGAUGACAAGUGUUUGUUAAAGAAUGUCUUCGCGUCCGAGGAUGAUCGCUUCAAAGAAAUUCGCAACGAGAGAUACCAGAGCAUCAUCGAGUUCUUCGACUGUCACAUCCACACUUUACCUCCAAUACCCUAUAUUAACAAAGUGAAAGCAAAUGCGAUCAAUCUUGUUCGAAUCGAGGAAAACACCUUCAGCACCAUACAUCGUUUGGACGUUUCCUACAACAGACUGCGUGAAAUUUCAACAAAAGCUUUUGAAUAUCCAGAAGAACUUUUAGAGUUGAAUCUAAAUGGCAAUCCAACACUCAAAGAUUUUGCUUUUCUAUCAAAGCUUACUGGUCUGAGAAGUCUUGAUAUGGCUGACAUGAAGCUUGAGCUGGAACUCUUGGAUAUCAACACAUUUGCUGGCAUGUCGGAGCUAUCUACACUUAAUAUGAGCGAUAAUAGAAUUACCUCGAUACCGGUAGGAAUGUUUUCUCCACUCGUCGGAUUAACUGAUUUAGAUCUAAGCAGAAACUCUAUCACAAAAAUUGCAUCCGGAACGUUUGCAAUCGCUACAACGCACAGCUACCUACGUGAUGGAAUAUACCACCAAGCGCUUAAUUUUGAUCUGUCAUCAAACAACGUAAGCAUCAUCGAGAACAACGCCUUUUUGCACGCCUCUAAGGUCAACCUGCGAAACAAUAAGCUAAUCGGUAUUGGCCAGUACGCAUUCGACAAUCAAACAGCCCUAGAGCAUUUGGAUCUUUCCGGUAACGAUCAGCUGAAAAACUUUGACUUCCUACACAACCUUCGUGCCCUGCACUAUCUCGAUAUGUCGCACAUGAAUUUCUCCUUCGACGGUGUUCCACGUAAUAUCUUCGAUGAUCUCGAUUCACUGACAACGCUCGAUCUGUCAAACAAUCGAAUACUCGAAAUUCCAAUCGGAAUCUUUGCCGAGCUACAAUCGCUUAACUUUAUCAACCUGCGACACAAUAGCAUCUCGCACAUCGAGUUCGGUACAUUCUCUAUGCGCAAAUAUGAUCUAAUAGACGAGAUUGAUCUCUCAUACAACAAUAUCAAAGAGUUAAACUUCCUAGUCUUCGUGCCGCUCAAGUACCUCAAGACGCUGCUUUUACAUGGAAAUAAAAUAUCGUAUGUUAAUGCCAAGCAGCUGACUCGCAACAAAAGCCUCUAUAAUUUUGGCAUUCAAAAUAGCAAUGUGCGCUGUUACGACCUAAUAGACCUGCUCGGAUCGCUAAAGCUUGUACUUGAACCAAAUGAAUUUAUUUCACACCUACCAAAUGUAGACGGAAUUAGAUGCCAACCAUAACAAUGUUUCUUUAACUCGAUUGCACAAUAAACAUGGCUUUAAGUGUAAUGUGAUACCAAUCGAACUCAUCAUAAUACAAACUAGCAGGAGGCCAAGGAGAUGUAUAUCUUUCUAUGAUUAUUGUAACAUGUUAGCUGAAAGUGUGUUUUCGCUUUAAUCAUCGUGGAUGCCUGGUUACGCCAUUUGGACAUUUACAUAAUUCGAUUCACUGUUUCAAAAUCGAUGCAAAUACCCCAUGCGCACCAGAACGGAAAUCGCGACCCAUCGGAUCGAUUCCGCUAGUGUCCCAAAUUGCACUAGCACUCCACGUUCCGUCGUCGUCCCAUUCGGAAAGGGGUGUUAGUAAAUGGCAAAAAGCUUUACCCAAUAAAGGUAACAGCGAAAAAACUUACACCAGAAACAACCAAAUGCUCUCGAUGGAUCACGAACUAUAUGUAUGGGUGUGACCUUUUUUAUGGUCAGUAUGUGGCGCCAACGGUUCUACUGUAGCUCUUCAUGAAUUUUCUGUCGUUAGUCACCCACGAGUAAGGGUAUUAAAAGUAAAUUCUCCCACUCUGCUGUUCUGUAACAAAAUCAAACUCGUCCCGCGUGGUUCGGUUGAACCGAUCUAGUGCUACAAUCCAUGCACUCAUGCCCAUACAUUGGAGCUCUGGAUCUGUCCUGUAGCAUCUCACCACAAGCAACGGACAAAUGGAAGGAAAAAGGGAAGGUAGCAGCUCUAAAUCCCCCACCACAAAGAGCCUGCGCGGGUGCGAAUUGGCGUGUGAAUAGCUCGCAAGUUGAGCGCGAGUGUUGAAUUUUAAUUAAUUUCCAAAUAAAUUACUUUAAUCGA
Molecule: RNA transcript, 2284 nt
Organism: Anopheles gambiae (African malaria mosquito)
Lineage: Eukaryota; Metazoa; Arthropoda; Insecta; Diptera; Culicidae
Gene name: toll-like receptor 7
Exons: 4
Source: RefSeq, a predicted model, not a curated record